GGGAAGAAAACGCAGAGGGAAGCUUGAAUCGAAAAGGGAAAAAAUACAAAGGAAAAGAUCUAGGGGAGAACUCAGAACCGAAGCAAGGGUUGAUUCGAUCUAUCAAAGCUGUGAAAUUUGUAUCCCAGAGAAAGAAGCAGAGGAGAAGUCCAGCUACAACUGAACCGAAGCAAAGGUCGAAUUGAGCAUUCAAAGCUGCGAAAUUCCGAUCCCAGAUAAAAUGCUUAGAAGAAAAAUGCGAGAUGUAAGCAUUGUUCAAAAUGCUCCAAACUCAACAGAAACAAAUAGUGAACAACGGACAACUAUUGGAUCUUCGAAUGUUCCGAAUACAUUUGAGGAUC
Long non-coding RNA from Gossypium raimondii (Peruvian cotton), 341 nucleotides. RefSeq lists it as uncharacterized. The record is from RefSeq and is a predicted model, not a curated record. The transcript has 3 exons. Lineage: Eukaryota; Viridiplantae; Streptophyta; Magnoliopsida; Malvales; Malvaceae.